GGCCUGGUAGCUCAGUUGGUAGAGCAGUGGACUGAAAAUCCAUGUGUCGCUGGUUCGAUUCCGGCCCGGGCCA
Molecule: transfer RNA, 73 nt
Filed under: Fidelibacterota bacterium
Lineage: Bacteria; Pseudomonadati; Fidelibacterota
Description: tRNA-Phe
Rfam family: tRNA
About the family: Transfer RNA (tRNA) molecules are approximately 80 nucleotides in length. Their secondary structure includes four short double-helical elements and three loops (D, anti-codon, and T loops).
Source: RNAcentral